RNAcentral lists this ribosomal RNA (956 nucleotides) under Nannocoris sp. Peru 326. Its description in RNAcentral is "bacterial SSU rRNA". It matches the Rfam family "Eukaryotic small subunit ribosomal RNA", at positions 396 to 1279 of the family's 1831-position model. The record is from RNAcentral. Lineage: Eukaryota; Metazoa; Arthropoda; Insecta; Hemiptera; Schizopteridae.
CUGAGAACAGUACCACAUCCAAGGAAGGCAGCAGCACGCAAAUUACCCACUCCCGGCACGGGGAGGUAGUGACAAAAAAAACGAUACGGGACUCAUCCGAGGCCCCGUAAUCGGAAUGAGAACACUUUAAAACCUUUAACAAGGAUCUAUUGGAGGGAAAGUCUGGUGCCAGCAUCCGCGGUAAUUCCAGCUCCAAUAGCGUAUAUUAAAGUUGUUGCGGUUAAAAAGCUCGUAGUUGGUUCUGUGUGCCAUGCUGUUGGUUCACCGCCUGCCGGUGUAACUGACAUGUCAUGGGACGUCCUGUCGGUGGUAAUUAAAGGCCUAUUUCUUAGAAAAGGCUCUGCCUCCAAUAAUUAAUAGGUUACUUUAAUUACCGAUUAAUACCUGCCGCGGUGCUCUUUACUGAGUGUCGAGGUAGGCCGACACGUUUACUUUGAACAAAUUAAAGUGCUUAAAGCAGGCAAAAGUCUGCCUGAAUAGUAGUGCAUGGAAUAAUAAAAUAAGACCUUGGUUCUAUUUUGUUGGUUUUCUGAAUUUAAGGUAAUGAUCAAUAUGGACAGUCGGGGGCAUCCGUAUUGCGACGUUAGAGGUGAAAUUCUUGGAUCGUCGCAAGACGAACUAAAGCGAAAGCAUUUGCCAAGUAUGUCUUAAUUGAUCAAGAACGAAAGUUAGAGGCUCGAAGGCGAUCAGAUACCGCCCUAGUUCUAACCAUAAACGAUAUCAACUAGCGAUCCGUCGAUGUUUUUUUCAUGACUCGACGGGCAGCUUCCGGGAAACCAAAGCUUUUGGGUUCCGGGGGAAGUAUGGUUGCAAAGCUGAAACUUAAAGGAAUUGACGGAAGGGCACCACCAGCAGUGGAGCCUGCGGUUGAUUUGACUCAACACUGGAAAGCUUACCAGGCCCAGACAUUAGAAGAUUGACAGAUUGAUAGCUCUUUCUUGAUUAAGUGGAUAGUG